This 687-nucleotide unclassified non-coding RNA is filed under the name Hevea brasiliensis (rubber tree). The record is from RNAcentral. Lineage: Eukaryota; Viridiplantae; Streptophyta; Magnoliopsida; Malpighiales; Euphorbiaceae.
AGCACGAACACCUUAGAGAAGUUUGAUCAAGUUUAGAAUUGUUUACACAAUGUAAAAGCAGAAAUAUACAGGUACAAUUGAAUUUUCCACCAAAUUGUUGCAGCUUGGAAUUUUCAAUUGAAUAGUACAAACUCAAAAUAUAGCAUCAUCAUCCAAGUUAACUCUCAUUAGUGUCUCCAUCAAUGUUAUUACCAAGUUCACCCAGAUUUGAACAGAAGUACAGCUUUUGAAUCCAAAUAGAAGUAGACAAAGUGGUUUGUUUCAUGAGUCACAUAAGAGCCGAAGUUUUUUCCGACGAUGCAAUGCCAAGUAGGACCGUACUUCUUAUCAAACUCCUUCUUAAUCAGUUCAGCUACAUCCUUCUCUACAUUAUGCUUCUCAAAUGCAGCAAUAGCAAUGUCGACGGCCUCCUUUUGUACAUCAGGUUUCAUAUCGGCACUCUUUAUGGUAACUUUUGUGCCGGUAGGAGAAGGAACGGAACCUGAUGAGAUUCUCCGAUCAUCGGAGGUAGGCUUCACAGCCGGAGCUCCUCCGCUUUUCUUUGCGUCUUCGCUCAUGUCUUCAGCUUUAUAUCAGGUUUGAGCCGUCAAAAUACUUCGCCUGAACUGUAGAACAGCCCCUCUCGGACGGCGGGUGGUGGUGUGGAAUAAGUGAGAGAGAGUUGAGAGGGGUGUGGGGUGGGCAGGG